GACGAACGCUGGCGGCGUGCUUAACACAUGCAAGUCGAACGGUGAAGCGCCUUCCUUUUUGGUGGGUGUGGAUGAGUGGCGAACGGGUGAGUAACACGUGAGUAACCUGCCCCCUUCUUCUGGAUAACCGCAUGAAAGUGUGGCUAAUACGGGAUAUUCUGGGUCUGUCGCAUGAUGGGUCUGGGAAAGAUAUUGUUUCGGUGGGGGAUGGGCUCGCGGCCUAUCAGCUUGUUGGUGGGGUGAUGGCCUACCAAGGCGGUGACGGGUAGCCGGCCUGAGAGGGUGGACGGUCACACUGGGAAUGAGACACGGCGAAGACUCCUACGGGAGGCAGCAGUGGGGAAUAUUGCACAAUGGGCGGAAGCCUGAUGCAGCGACGCCGCGUGAGGGAUGGAGGCCUUCGGGUUGUGAACCUCUUUCGCCAGUGAAGCAGGCCUGCCUCGUUUGUGGGUGGGUUGACGGUAGCUGGAUAAGAAGCGCCGGCUAACUACGUG
Molecule: ribosomal RNA, 494 nt
Filed under: uncultured bacterium
Lineage: Bacteria
Description: partial 16S ribosomal RNA
Rfam family: Bacterial small subunit ribosomal RNA
Source: RNAcentral